AAAAAAGCUCUGAAUAAAAUUGGAUAUAGUGUGCAUUCUGUGAAACAACUGAACUUUUACAUUGUUUUUAGACAAGAAUGUAGUUGUGUAAAUCAAAAAUAUCUGAUCAGUUUAUCAAGAUUUCGCUUAAUUACACAAAUGCGCCCAUGUGUUUGUCCGCUGCCACAGCAGCCGGCUCGCCUCGCCAGCUGUCAGCUGACCGGGUGUUUGAGGUGCGCUAAACCCCGAGAGAACAGCUAACUCCUGGCACAUUGUUUUCAAAAUCCCGCUGGGUUUCCCCAAUGGAUGGAUGUUAAACAGAUAUAAUGUUGGAAUAAUUGUAUAUAAAUUUAUCUUGCAUAAUCUCUUUAUUACCUUUGUUAUUUGACUUUUAUAACUUUUCAUGUUGUAUGUGUAAACAAACAUGUGAUAAGUUGUUUGCAGGCAAGGAGGAAAGGUGGAAUCGGGAUGAUGCAGUCACAGUUGAGGACAUCACAAAGACAACAGCUGAUAUUCCUGAACAAAGAUCACACAUACCUUAAGAUUAUGGAGACUAUGCAAGUGUGUUUGUACAAGAUAAUGGUGUACAUGAUCUAUGUCACGUUGCUAUUGUUUGUUCCCCAACCUUUAGAGCAGCAACGUUUAUGUAACUAGGGACCACCCUAAAGAUAAUAAAAAGAGGUGUUGGAGAGAUGUGUUUUCAGAGUGGUAGGAGCACUUCUCUGUCCGUUCUCCUCACAGCGAGUAAGAAACUAAUUAUCUUGUCUUUCUCUUCUUUUGUGAUGUUAUAGGUAUUUUAGGUUGAUUAAACCUGACAUUUGUGGUCCUUCGAGCCGGAGUCCAAUACGCCUGAGGAUUCCAGCGGGUUGGUGGAAUCCAGUAAAGACCGUGCGCACGGCAGGCUUCAUCAGGGAGACUCUCAGACCCUUUCCAUGACUGGACCUCGGCCCGCCCGGUGGGGGCUGACGUAACUCCGAGAGAGAGGGGAAAGACAGAGUGGUAUCAGUAACCUCGAUGUGCAUCGAUUCUCUAACUAUUCCUCGAGCGCUUGGAGCCUUUUGGAUUACCUGUCUGGAAUUCUACGUACACUCCUGGACUGAGCAAUCUUCACCUUUUACUGGAUCUGUGCUACAUUACGACAAGCGUACUUCUCCUGCAGAUCUGUCCACCCUCCUACGUAACUCCUGCUUCACCUUCCGCUCGCUUUCCACAGAAAGCACGUUUCGCUGUGAGCUCUACUUCAGUUCUCCUAAACCCCGUCUCCCCUGGCGGAUUCCGUUCACUCUCUAUUGGAGAGACCAGAUCCCUGUCAUCCCCGUGUAGAAUUUAGAAAUAAUAAACUUCUUUUCACCGUU
This is a long non-coding RNA of Girardinichthys multiradiatus, 1334 nucleotides long. RefSeq lists it as uncharacterized. The record is from RefSeq and is a predicted model, not a curated record. The transcript is spliced from 3 exons. Lineage: Eukaryota; Metazoa; Chordata; Actinopteri; Cyprinodontiformes; Goodeidae.